This is an RNA transcript of Ricinus communis (castor bean), 3713 nucleotides long. It is a transcript of the gene named pentatricopeptide repeat-containing protein At3g16010, with no coding region annotated. Lineage: Eukaryota; Viridiplantae; Streptophyta; Magnoliopsida; Malpighiales; Euphorbiaceae. The transcript has 3 exons. The record is from RefSeq and is a predicted model, not a curated record.
UUUUAUUAGGAGCCCCGCCAAUAAUUUUAUUUUCACUUUCACUGUUCCAUAAUUUUCUUGAUAAAAAAGAAGGGCUUCUAGGAUAUAUGACACUGUAUAGAAGUAUUGGCCUGUAAUUGUAUAACAUCUCUUUUUUUUUUUGUGCUGUGAAGAAAUCCUAAUCUUCUAUCAAAAACCUGUACACAAAUGGCAAAGGCGUUUGUAAAAUCCAUUGUUUUAAAGCGUUCAAUAUCAACUUCGCCUCAUCUCUAUGAGAGAAUUAAACAAACAGAUAAUGAAAUAGUCAAUAUGUUCCGGGUACCCAGUAUGAAUAAUAAGAUGCAAAACUUGCCCAUGAACAGAAAGUUUUCAGGGAAGGACACAUCGACUAGGAAGUUGGACGAGAGAUUCAUAAGGAUUUUGAAGAUCUUCAAAUGGGGACCUGAUGCUGAAAAGGCAUUGGAAGUACUAAAGUUGAAAGUGGAUCAUCGGUUAGUUCACGAGGUUUUGAAGAUAGAUGUUGAGAUUAAUGUGAAAAUUCAGUUCUUUAAGUGGGCUGGUAAAAGGAGAAACUUUGAGCAUGAUUCCAGUAGUUUCAUGGCUUUAAUCCAUAGUUUGGAUGAAGCUGGAUUUUAUGGUGAGAUGUGGAAGACAAUUCAAGACAUGGUGAGAAGCAGCACGUGUGUUAUUAGUUCUGUUUAUUUAUCUGAAAUUGUUAAAUUAUUGGGUAAGGCCAAGAUGGUUAACAAGGCACUUUCUGUAUUUUACCAAAUUAAAGGUCGAAAAUGCAAACCAGCGGCGACUACUUAUAACUCUAUGAUCUUGAUGUUGAUGCAAGAAGGUCACCUUGAAAAGGUUCAUGAGAUUUACAAUGAGAUGUGUAAUGAUGGCAAUUGUUUUCCGGAUACUGUAACAUAUAGUGCACUUAUUUCAGCUUUUGGAAAAUUGGGUCAUUAUGAUUCAGCAAUAAGGUUGUUUGAUGAGAUGAAAGAGAAUGGUCUAUAUCCCACUGCAAAGAUUUAUACUACUUUGUUAGGAAUUUAUUUUAAAUUGGACAAGGUCGAGAAGGCUUUAGAUGUGAUCAAGGAAAUGAAAGAUAAGGGGUGCACUCUGACUGUCUUUACUUACACAGAGUGGAUUAAGGGGCUCGGGAAAGCUGGUAGGGUUGAUGAUGCUUACAGGGUGUUCUUGGAUAUGAUAAAAGAUGGCUGCAAACCUGAUGUUGUGCUCAUAAACAGUUUAAUUAACAUUUUGGGUAAAGUGGGUCGUCUCGAAGUUACUCUUAAGCUUUUUCGCAAAAUGGAAAGUUGGCAGUGUAAACCAAAUGUGGUGACAUAUAACACUGUAAUAAAGGCUUUAUUUGAAUGCAAAGCUCCGGCUUCUGAAGCUGCAUCAUGGUUUGAGAAAAUGAAAGGUUGUGGUAUUGCCCCUAGCUCAUUUACUUACUCAAUUCUUAUUGAUGGUUUUUGCAAAACAAACAGAAUUGAGAAAGCUUUAUUGCUGCUGGAAGAGAUGGACGAAAAGGGUUUUCCUCCUUGUCCAGCAGCCUAUUGCAGCUUGAUCAACAGUCUUGGAAAGGUAAAACGAUAUGAAGCUGCAAACGAGUUAUUUCUAGAGUUAAAAGAGAAUUGUGGACAUUCAAGUGCUCGUGUAUAUGCUGUGAUGAUCAAACAUUUUGGAAAAUGUGGCCGUCUUAGUGAGGCUGUAGAUCUUUUUAAUGAGAUGGAGAAACUUGGGAGCAAACCUGAUGUUUAUGCUUACAACGCACUCAUGUCGGGGAUGGUUAGAGCUGGCAUGAUAGAUGAAGCUCAAUCAUUGCUCAGAACCAUGGACGAAAAUGGUUGCUCUCCAGACCUAAACUCACAUAACAUCAUCUUAAAUGGCUUAGCUAGGACAGGUGUCCCAGACCGAGCAAUUGAAAUGUUUGCGAAGAUGAAGUCUUCAAUAAUUAAGCCAGACGCAGUUUCUUACAAUACUGUUCUUGGCUGUCUGAGCCACGCUGGUUUAUUUGAGGAAGCUGCAAAGUUGAUGAGAGAGAUGAAUUUGAAAGGGUUUGAAUAUAAUAAUAUCACCUACACUUCAAUUCUUGAGGCAGUUGGCAAGGUUGAUGAAGAUCGUGCACCUGCUGCCUUGUGAACAGAACCAGUUAUUGUGUCACAUUCCUUUCAUUGCUCGUAUUUUUCAUCCUAAAAUGCUUUCAUCUAAAAUGGUUGUGGAUUAUAGUUUAAAUACACCAUUUGGGACCAAUUCUUCGUUAUGUUCCUUGUUAUCUAGUUAUACCCUAUACCAUGAUAAUGGGGCAAUACAUAACAUGGGAAGAUCCACUGGUCGAAAGUUUUGUGUAGUAAUAAUUGCGAAGUAAAUAUCUUUUUUGAGUCACUAUCAAGUGUUGCUGGAGGGAGAGAUGGAAGGAAACGGGGGGGAAAUAAUUGGUUUGUUUCUUUACUGAGGUGAAUCUUACAUUCACUAAGCAGAAAUAUAGAAAAGGUAGGAACUAGGAAAUAUUAGUAAAUUUUAGAACUGGUCAUUGCAGAUGAGGCAAAUGUAUCUUAGAACUUAAAGGUCAACUUCCUGAUCCUAUAAAAUUAUAGACCUCCAUGUGGGGGUCAACUUUAUGACCAAGUCCAGUCUAUCUUUUGUUUAUAACUUUUAUCAAUUGUGACUGUUAACUGAUGUGCACUAGUUGAAAAAAUGUGCUCAAACUUAUAUGAAACCGCUUCUGCAAUCACAGUGUUAGGAAUUUUUAUGCAUGCAUCCCUCUUUCUUGCACAUAAAUAUUUUUUUGCUUGAAUCACUCAGAGCAAUAACUUGCAAGUCAUUUUCGUGGGAAUACUAACUUUCCUUCCAUUCUUGUCAAAGAAAAGAAAUUUUCCAGGGAAGUGGCAGAGGGGUUCUAGUGAAAUCAGGAGCUGAAAGGAGACCUUUGACCAUGCGAAGGAUAUGGUCUGCAUGACAAAUUUUUUCUCCGCAAUACAAUUGGAAACUAUGGGAGACAUGAUUGUGAUGAAAAUCAAUAGCUUUCCGCAAGCCAAAAGCAACAUCAAAUUUAAUGGCCUACUGUGACGCAUAAUGUGGUAGAGAGAAUAGGCAAGCUACUGGUGAACUGCUCAGAUAUGAAACUGUGGGAAUUACAAUGGUAGCAAAGUUGGAGAAGCAUAGAAGUCGCUCAUAUCUCAUUAAGGAAUGACAGUGCUCUCCUUAUUUAUGUAUGAUAUGAAAAUUGGUAUUUUGGUUUCAAUCUUCUGCAUAGAAGUUAUAAAUUCGGUGAAUAAUUAUGACUCUUGAUGGUGCUAGUCUCUUUGGUUCAGCGGACAUGUACAGGUGGAAUCUAAGCAUUAGAAUGUCAAUCUCACAUAUGAAUAGCAAGCAAAGGAAUCAUUAUUGCUGCAAGCUUCAGAUUUUUAUGGCUUAUCCUGACUUCAAAAAUGCAUCAGGCACUGGAAUAGAAUAGUCCUAUUCCCCAUAAUCCGUCUUUGAACUAAAUGGAAUAGAAAUAAGGAUGAUAUCAGCUAUUCUCACAUGCUGAAGCACAGUUCUGCUGUAUUUACAAUGAGGGUAGAGGGAUGUGUAUCAUGAGAAACUAGACGUCAGCAUGUCAAAUUCAGAUUACAUAUAUAUGAGAUAGAAGUAGAUACAAGCGCAAGCUCAGUGUUGAAAUUGCUAGCAUGGCUAUGGGCUUAUUUUAUUAAAAAUUGGAAUGGAGAUGGAGAUUUGUAUUUAGUAUUUAUUUGUCA